Non-coding RNA from Glycine max (soybean), 46 nucleotides. The record is from Rfam. Lineage: Eukaryota; Viridiplantae; Streptophyta; Magnoliopsida; Fabales; Fabaceae.
ACAUCGGUUUUUCUAAAAACCAUCGGUUUUUUAAAAACCAAUGUUG